Onychostoma macrolepis is the source of this 1317-nucleotide long non-coding RNA. RefSeq lists it as uncharacterized. The record is from RefSeq and is a predicted model, not a curated record. The transcript is spliced from 3 exons. Lineage: Eukaryota; Metazoa; Chordata; Actinopteri; Cypriniformes; Cyprinidae.
CUUCCUUAAAAAAUUAUAAAAGUUUAAAACACUAUUUUAUGAGUUAUACUUUAUAAGGCAUAAGAGGUGUGCCCAUAUUUGUAAACUAUGGGUCUACAAAUCUGUGGAAUACAAAUGGCAAAAUUGAGGCUACAGUUUCAAAUCUGCAAAGCUGGACUUCAAAAUUUCAACAAACGAAGUACUGUAAGUUAUCAAGCAACCCUGGAAAACUGAAUGACAAAGUACCAGCGUGAAGAGUUGAAGGAGAUUGUUCCCCAAUUAAAGAGAACAAUCAAUCAGCUCCAAGACACAAACAGAGGACUAACAUGCAACCAAAUCCCCAAAUCCUGCUGACGCAGAGGAAAAGUUUCAUAUCUCAGAUGCAGCAUGCCCCUGUAACUUCCACUGCACACUUCAAAAGAGAACAAGAUGCCAAAGGUCACAUCCCAACCUCAGUCUCCAGUGCUCAUUGGAACGCUAUGGUAAUAAUAAGCAAGAGACAUUGUGUAACAACGCUUCAUUGCUGCCAUACUGGCCGUGCUGUUAUUUCGAUACAGUGCAGGGGCAGAGAGAGGGGAGAGGAGAGGCAGGCGACAGCAGACUGACGCCAGCAUGAGAUGACGGAUAUAGCUCGGGUGUAUUGUUUUGGAUUGUGUGCGGGGCUGGAGGUGAGAGUAGCCUGAGUGUUACCGACUGUCCCGGUCUGUCCAUCCCUCAAGUGUCCCGGCAUGUAUUUCUCCCCUGGGGGGAAACGCAAACCUCCCUCCGAUCCCCCAUCCUACACCCCAGGAUUAGCAGCCCUCCUAUUUUUUGUCCCCUUCCACCUUGUCUCUUCAGUCACACGGCAUCCGUGUGGUCUUUGUUUAUGCAGUAAUGAUAUCGCCUGCGAUAUCACUUGUGCUAGACCAGGUUAUUUAUGUCUCCACACUAAUAAUUCAGUUGGUGGAAAUAAAUGUAUUUCAAUGACCUAAACCAUGAAUCUUAAUCCAAUAAUAUGCCUCUGAUUGAAUUUAUGACGUAUUUAUUAAACUUAAGACUAAUUAGUUCUGGGCCAUAAAUUCUUUAAAUCAUUCAGGUGACUAGUCUUUAAUGCUGAUCGAGUCAAUGUCUCCAAAGUACUGUCCUUUUAUGAAUUUAGAAAUAAUAGCGUCCUCAUGCAUGUACUGGAAAGUCAUUUUGCAGUGGUGUUUUGUUAGAUAAUAAAUGUUACAUGAAAAAAAUACAAAAGGUAUAACCACACUUUUGAUUUCAGACAUUUACAGACAAUUAAAAGGUUUUUAGCUGUGACUAAGGAUUUAUUUAGGACUUUUGUUAGUAUAACCCAAAGAAUUCAGGCUG